RNAcentral lists this unclassified non-coding RNA (599 nucleotides) under Hevea brasiliensis (rubber tree). The record is from RNAcentral. Lineage: Eukaryota; Viridiplantae; Streptophyta; Magnoliopsida; Malpighiales; Euphorbiaceae.
GAAUGAUUCUUCAUUUUGGAUAUGAUUUUAUGUGCAUAAAUUCUCAAAAUUUGGCCUCAACAAAUCUAUAUACAAAGUCUAAUGAUGUGAAUAUAAUAGCAUAAUAUUCCCUACCGGACUUUGUAUAAAUAAUUCCGCAAACAUUUACAAUCACCACAACAGAAGCCAAAAGCUCCCAAACAUAAACAACAUUUACCAAAAUGAAGAAUCAUUCUACAAACACAUAUUACCAUAAAAACCCCAUACUUCAUUUUCUUCUCUUUUCUUUCUAGCCAAAGAAAGCUUGCAAAGUCCUCCCAAUUUUGCCACAACCAUCCAAAAUUUUGCUGCUCUAAUAACCCUAUAUAAAUAAUAAGGCAGCACCGUUGAGAUCUUUUUGGGCUUUUUUUAAAAUUAUUUUUAUUGACUUGUAGAGUAUCUUGAAUUCCAGUACUUCUCAAUUUCCUCUGCUGUUCUUCCAGGAAUUCUUCCAGCAAUUAGAGACCACCUCUCACCAACCAGAUUGUACAUCCUAGUAAUAAGGGUUUCUUCAUCUUCAGAGAAUUCAAGCUUAGAAUCUUGGCUGGAUUCCUCUCUAGAAUCAACAGAGACAUCAUCAC